Molecule: ribosomal RNA, 238 nt
Filed under: uncultured Pseudomonadales bacterium
Lineage: Bacteria; Pseudomonadati; Pseudomonadota; Gammaproteobacteria; Pseudomonadales
Description: partial 16S ribosomal RNA
Rfam family: Bacterial small subunit ribosomal RNA
Source: RNAcentral
UAUGAUUAGUGGCGGACGGGUGAGUAACAUUUAGGAAUCUGCCUAGUAGUGGGGGAUAGCUCGGGGAAACUCGAAUUAAUACCGCAUACGACCUACGGGUGAAAGGGGGCGCAAGCUCUUGCUAUUAGAUGAGCCUAAAUCAGAUUAGCUAGUUGGUGGGGUAAAGGCCCACCAAGGCGACGAUCUGUAACUGGUCUGAGAGGAUGAUCAGUCACACCGGAACUGAGACACGGUCCGG